GAUGAACGCUGGCGGCGUGCUUAACACAUGCAAGUCGAGCGAGAAGUUUUGAAAAGAUUCUUCGGAUGAAAUUUAAAAUGGAAAGCGGCGGACGGGUGAGUAACGCGUAGGCAACCUGCCCCAUACAAAGGGAUAGCAUUUGGAAACGAAUAUUAAUACCUUAUGAAACUUAACUAGUGCAUGCUAGGUAGGUCAAAGAUUUAUCGGUAUGGGAUGGGCCUGCGUCUGAUUAGCUAGUUGGUGAGGUAACGGCUCACCAAGGCGACGAUCAGUAGCCGACCUGGGAGGGUGAACGGCCACAUUGGAACUGAGACACGGUCCAAACUCCUACGGGAGGCAGCAGUGGGGAAUAUUGCACAAUGGGGGAAACCCUGAUGCAGCAACGCCGCGUGAACGAGGAAGGCCUUUGGGGCGUAAAGUUCUGUUCUAGGUGAUGAAAACUGACAGUAACCUAGGAGAAAGCCCCGGCUAACUCCGUG
RNAcentral lists this ribosomal RNA (479 nucleotides) under uncultured bacterium. Its description in RNAcentral is "partial 16S ribosomal RNA". It matches the Rfam family "Bacterial small subunit ribosomal RNA", at positions 28 to 507 of the family's 1533-position model. The record is from RNAcentral.